AAUAUAUGUAUGUGUGCAUGUACUAUGUGUGUGUGUGUAUAUAUACACACAUAGUAUAUAUACAGUACACACACACACAUACAUACACACAAACAUAUAUA
RNAcentral lists this microRNA precursor (101 nucleotides) under Podarcis lilfordi (Lilford's wall lizard). The record is from RNAcentral. Lineage: Eukaryota; Metazoa; Chordata; Lepidosauria; Squamata; Lacertidae.